CUUAUUGCGCGGUUGGAAACCAUAUACACACUGUUUUUGUUGGCCAUGGAUAGCGAUAUCCAGGCAAAUUUUAUAAACCCCUUCCAAUUUAUUGGAAAUGUAUUAUUUAAUAUUACUAUUCAUCAAAAAGUUAUAAAUUUUAAAACUUUCAGCAACGGAUCUCUUGGUUCUCGCAUCGAUGAAGAACGCAGCGAAUUGCGAUAAGUAAUAUGAAUUGCAGAUUUUCGUGAAUCAUCGAAUCUUUGAACGCAUAUUGCACUCUUUAGUAUUCUGGAGAGUAUGCCUGUUUGAGCGCCAUUUCUCUCUUAAACCUUUGGUUUAGUAAGAUGGAGCGUGUUGCUUUUGCCAACUGCUCUGAAAUGACUGACGGCAGCCAUCUUAACUAGUUUACCUAGUAAUAGACUGUGAUUUCAAUAUUAGGUUCUACCAACUAUUGAACGAUUGCUCUGUAUUGCUUUGUAUCUAUCUAUUUAACGUGACGCCUUUACAAUUUUAUCAUCAAAAUUGACCUCAAAUCAGGUAGGGAUACCCGCUGAACUUAAGCAUAUCAAUAAGCGGAGGAA
RNAcentral lists this ribosomal RNA (563 nucleotides) under fungal sp. DsppF20. RNAcentral describes it as "eukaryotic LSU rRNA". The stretch from base 144 to 297 matches the Rfam family "5.8S ribosomal RNA". Lineage: Eukaryota; Fungi. The record is from RNAcentral.